ACUAAUUUGGCAGAAAAAUUGUAUCAAAUUUAGAAUUUGAAUAGGGAUGAAAUCCAGUUAGUA
RNAcentral lists this transfer RNA (63 nucleotides) under Ixodes columnae. Its description in RNAcentral is "tRNA-Leu". Lineage: Eukaryota; Metazoa; Arthropoda; Arachnida; Ixodida; Ixodidae. The record is from RNAcentral.